This 547-nucleotide ribosomal RNA is filed under the name uncultured bacterium. RNAcentral describes it as "bacterial SSU rRNA". It matches the Rfam family "Bacterial small subunit ribosomal RNA", at positions 355 to 896 of the family's 1533-position model. The record is from RNAcentral.
UGGGGAAUAUUGCGCAAUGGGGGGAACCCUGACGCAGCCAUGCCGCGUGAAUGAAGAAGGCCUUAGGGUUGUAAAGUUCUUUCGGUAUUGAGGAAGGUUGAUGUGUUAAUAGCACAUCAAAUUGACGUUAAAUACAGAAGAAGCACCGGCUAACUCCGUGCCAGCAGCCGCGGUAAUACGGAGGGUGCGAGCGUUAAUCGGAAUAACUGGGCGUAAAGGGCACGCAGGCGGUUAUUUAAGUGAGGUGUGAAAGCCCCGGGCUUAACCUGGGAAUUGCAUUUCAGACUGGGUAACUAGAGUACUUUAGGGAGGGGUAGAAUUCCACGUGUAGCGGUGAAAUGCGUAGAGAUGCGGAGGAAUACCGAAGGCGAAGGCAGCCCCUUGGGAAUGUACUGACGCUCAUGUGCGAAAGCGUGGGGAGCAAACAGGAUUAGAUACCCUGGUAGUCCACGCUGUAAACGCUGUCGAUUUGGGGGUUGGGGUUUAACUCUGGCGCCCGUAGCUAACGUGAUAAAUCGACCGCCUGGGGAGUACGGCCGCAAGGUUA